RNAcentral lists this ribosomal RNA (468 nucleotides) under uncultured bacterium. RNAcentral describes it as "bacterial SSU rRNA". It matches the Rfam family "Bacterial small subunit ribosomal RNA", at positions 791 to 1256 of the family's 1533-position model. The record is from RNAcentral.
UAGUCCACACCGUAAACGCUGUCUACUAGCUGUUUGUGAGUUUAACUCGUGAGUAGCGAAGCUAACGCGCUAAGUAGACCGCCUGGGGAGUACGGUCGCAAGAUUAAAACUCAAAUGAAUUGACGGGGGCCCGCACAAGCGGUGGAGCAUGUGGUUUAAUUCGAUGCAACGCGAAGAACCUUACCUACACUUGACAUUCAGCGAGCUUACCAGAGAUGGUUUGGUGCCUUCGGGAACGCUGGGACAGGUGCUGCAUGGCUGUCGUCAGCUCGUGUCGUGAGAUGUUGGGUUAAGUCCCGCAACGAGCGCAACCCUCACUUUUAGUUGCCAUCAUUAAGUUGGGCACUCUGAAAGAACUGCCAGUGAUAAGCUGGAGGAAGGUGGGGGAUGACGUCAAGUCCUCAUGGCCCUUACGUGUUGGGGCUACACACGUGCUACAAUGGGUAUCUACAACAGGGAAGCAAGACU